Molecule: ribosomal RNA, 471 nt
Filed under: uncultured bacterium
Lineage: Bacteria
Description: bacterial SSU rRNA
Rfam family: Bacterial small subunit ribosomal RNA
Source: RNAcentral
CCAGACUCCUACGGGAGGCAGCAGUGGGGAAUAUUGCACAAUGGGCGCAAGCCUGAUGCAGCCAUGCCGCGUGUAUGAAGAAGGCCUUCGGGUUGUAAAGUACUUUCAGUCGGGAGGAAGGUGGUAAGGUUAAUAACCUUAUCAAUUGACGUUACCGACAGAAGAAGCACCGGCUAACUCCGUGCCAGCAGCCGCGGUAAUACGGAGGGUGCAAGCGUUAAUCGGAAUUACUGGGCGUAAAGCGCACGCAGGCGGUUGAUUGAGUCGGAUGUGAAAUCCCCGGGCUCAACCUGGGAACUGCAUUCGAAACUGGCAGGCUGGAGUCUUGUAGAGGGGGGUAGAAUUCCAGGUGUAGCGGUGAAAUGCGUAGAGAUCUGGAGGAAUACCGGUGGCGAAGGCGGCCCCCUGGACAAAGACUGACGCUCAGGUGCGAAAGCGUGGGGAGCAAACAGGAUUAGAUACCCCUGUAAA